RNAcentral lists this transfer RNA (71 nucleotides) under Phrynosoma platyrhinos (Desert horned lizard). RNAcentral describes it as "tRNA-OTHER". The record is from RNAcentral. Lineage: Eukaryota; Metazoa; Chordata; Lepidosauria; Squamata; Phrynosomatidae.
GCCAGCACGGUGUAGUGGUUUGUGUGUUGGACUAUGACUCUAGAGACCAGGGUUCAAUUCUCAGCUUGGCC